UGGGGAAUAUUGGACAAUGGGCGAAAGCCUGAUCCAGCCAUGCCGCGUGAGUGAAGAAGGCCUUCGGGUUGUAAAGCUCUUUUAGUCGGAAAGAAAGAGUUGCAAUGAAUAAUUGUGAUUUAUGACGGUACCGACAGAAAAAGCACCGGCUAACUACGUGCCAGCAGCCGCGGUAAUACGUAGGGUGCGAGCGUUAAUCGGAAUUACUGGGCGUAAAGGGUGCGCAGGCGGUCUUGCAAGUCAGAUGUGAAAGCCCCGGGCUUAACCUGGGAAUUGCGUUUGAAACUACAAGACUAGAGUGCAGCAGAGGGGAGUGGAAUUCCAUGUGUAGCAGUGAAAUGCGUAGAGAUGUGGAAGAACACCGAUGGCGAAGGCAGCUCCCUGGGUUGACACUGACGCUCAUGCACGAAAGCGUGGGGAGCAAACA
Molecule: ribosomal RNA, 427 nt
Filed under: uncultured beta proteobacterium
Lineage: Bacteria; Pseudomonadati; Pseudomonadota; Betaproteobacteria
Description: bacterial SSU rRNA
Rfam family: Bacterial small subunit ribosomal RNA
Source: RNAcentral